This 452-nucleotide ribosomal RNA is filed under the name uncultured bacterium. RNAcentral's name for it is "bacterial SSU rRNA". It matches the Rfam family "Bacterial small subunit ribosomal RNA", at positions 29 to 524 of the family's 1533-position model. The record is from RNAcentral.
AACGAACGCUGGCGGCAUGCCUAACACAUGCAAGUCGAACGAGACCUUCGGGUCUAGUGGCGCACGGGUGCGUAACGCGUGGGAAUCUGCCCUUGGGUUCGGAAUAACAGCGAGAAAUUGCUGCUAAUACCGGAUGAUGACGUAAGUCCAAAGAUUUAUCGCCCAAGGAUGAGCCCGCGUAGGAUUAGCUAGUUGGUGAGGUAAAGGCUCACCAAGGCGACGAUCCUUAGCUGGUCUGAGAGGAUGAUCAGCCACACUGGGACUGAGACACGGCCCCAGACUCCUACGGGAGGCAGCAGUGGGGAAUAUUGGACAAUGGGGCGAAAGCCUGAUCCAGCAAUGCCGCGUGAGUGAUGAAGGCCUUAGGGUUGUAAAGCUCUUUUACCCGGGAUGAUAAUGACAGUACCGGGAGAAUAAGCUCCGGCUAACUCCGUGCCAGCAGCCGCGGUAAU